UUGGAGCCAGAAGGAACUUCCUGUUUGGAACGAUCGCUCAGUCCAGUUCUCCAACAGUCAACAGAACACAGAAAGUAUCUGGAACUGCCAUCAACAAACAGUAGCUCCACCAGGGCGUCCUUGACCACCCGACAGGUGAGCAGCUCUUCGAUGUCAUCCUCAGUGAUGGCCUCUCCGGUGGACUCCAGCAUGGCUUUCAGCUCCUCCAGGUCGAUGUAGCCGUCUCCGUUCCUGCACACAGACAACAGAGUGGGGCAGGGUUGAGUGGGAGUCUGUUCACUGUUAGACCGAGCAGCAAGGAGAAAAAACCCUCAAGACUGAUGGAACACUGAGGUCCAGGUGUGCUUGGGUUGCUCCACCCAUGGGCAGGUCAGCGCACCAUCAUCACCAGGAACUCAUCAAAGUCCACGGUGCCGCUGCCUGUCAACAAACAGAGUCCAUGCUGGUGACACAGAGUCAGCUGAUCCCUAAACUCUACAGAUCCUGAUAGAAAUCUACGACAAAAAAGGUCUUCAUCAGGUGUGUGACGCACCGUCCUCAUCCACCUCAUCAAUCAUCUCCUGCAGCUCCUCCGGGGUGGGGUUCUGGCCCAGCAUCCUCAUCACCUUCCCCAGCUCCUUGGUGCUGAUGCAGCCAUCCUCAGCGUCC
Long non-coding RNA from Oryzias melastigma (Indian medaka), 648 nucleotides. RefSeq lists it as uncharacterized. The transcript has 4 exons. NCBI's taxonomy places the organism in Eukaryota, Metazoa, Chordata, Actinopteri, Beloniformes, Adrianichthyidae. The record is from RefSeq and is a predicted model, not a curated record.